Molecule: ribosomal RNA, 253 nt
Filed under: uncultured prokaryote
Description: partial 16S ribosomal RNA
Rfam family: Bacterial small subunit ribosomal RNA
Source: RNAcentral
UACAGAGGGUGCGAGCGUUGUCCGGAAUCACUGGGCGUAAAGGGCGCGUAGGUGGCCAUGUAAGUCGGGGGUGAAAUGCUGCGGCUCAACCGCAGCGCUGCCUUCGAGACUGCAUAGCUUGAGCACGGUAGAGGCCGAUGGAAUUCCCGGUGUAGCGGUGGAAUGCGUAGAGAUCGGGAAGAACACCGAUGGCGAAGGCAGUCGGCUGGGCCGUUGCUGACACUGAGGCGCGACAGCGUGGGGAGCAAACAGG